This 396-nucleotide ribosomal RNA is filed under the name uncultured bacterium. RNAcentral describes it as "partial 16S ribosomal RNA". It matches the Rfam family "Bacterial small subunit ribosomal RNA", at positions 523 to 917 of the family's 1533-position model. The record is from RNAcentral.
AUACGUAGGGGGCGAGCGUUGUCCGGAAUGAUUGGGCGUAAAGGGCGCGUAGGCGGCCCGGUAAGUCUGGAGUGAAAGUCCUGUUUUUAAGAUGGGAAUUGCUUUGGAUACUGUCGGGCUUGAGUGCAGGAGAGGUAAGGGGAAUUCCCAGGGUAGCGGUGAAAUGCGUAGAGAUUGGGAGGAACACCAGUGGCGAAGGCGACUUACUGGACUGUAACUGACGCUGAGGCGCGAAAGUGUGGGGAGCAAACAGGAUUAGAUACCCUGGUAGUCCACACUGUAAACGAUGAAUGCUAGGUGUAGGGGGUAUCGACCCCUUCUGUGCCGCAGUCAACACAAUAAGCAUUCCGCCUGGGGAGUACGGCCGCGAGGUUGAAACUCAAAGGAAUUGACGGG